AUGGCUUCUUCCAUUCUUGUUUCAUGCAUGAUUGUAGAAAUUCUAUUGAGUUCUUCUGGAGCACAGGGCCAGAGCCGACCAGAUCGUGCUGCGCCAAUGCAAGAAGAAGGCCCGCCAGAUGCAGUACAAGGUGCGCUAUGUGGCCAUCUCGACAUACUAUCACGACGCUCUUGGUGUGAUGAUGACCAAGGAAGAAGCGCGGAGGAUGGGCAUUACCUUGGAGAGGCCCGAGUACUUGGCGAUAAGUAUAAAAGAUUUUUCAUUCCGAUGUUUGUGGUACAUUUCACCGUUUCGUGUUGA
This 300-nucleotide ribosomal RNA is filed under the name Triticum aestivum (bread wheat). Its description in RNAcentral is "partial small subunit ribosomal RNA". The record is from RNAcentral. Lineage: Eukaryota; Viridiplantae; Streptophyta; Magnoliopsida; Poales; Poaceae.